CGGGUCGAUGGAGACUGAGGUGCCCGAAGCAUUCGGGGUAAAUGGGAAGUUCAGUGCAAGCUGACGCUGCCCCCGCAACGGUAGGGUCGAUAAGCCAUCGACCGAGCCCGACACCAGCCCAAUCUCCUCAAGGCAA
This 136-nucleotide non-coding RNA is filed under the name Pseudomonas taeanensis. The record is from RNAcentral. Lineage: Bacteria; Pseudomonadati; Pseudomonadota; Gammaproteobacteria; Pseudomonadales; Pseudomonadaceae.